ACAUUUUUUUCAAAUUUAAAACAUUUUUUUUUCAAAAUCAUUUUGUCAUUUUCCAGGGCAUAUCCUAAGGGGAAGGAGUAGGGGACCUGACAUUCUGCUUUAAUUAAAAUCCCAAAUUCCUUACCCUAGAAUACCUGCCUCUUUGUAACCCAGUACUCUCCAUUUUGUAUUUCCACCUAGUUUAGAUAGGAAUCUCAAAAACGUGGAUAUUACUUUUGUUUGUUUGUUUGCUUGUGAUGGGGUUUCACUUUGUCACCCAGACUGAAGUCCAGUGGUGUGAACAUGGCUCACUGCAGCCUCAACCUCCUGGGCUCCAGCAGUCCUCUGAUCCUCCCACCUCAGCCUCAGAAGAAGAAACAUCAACUGGAGAUACAAAGGAUGAAGUGACGACACUAGCGGAUGUCUGGGUGGCUCGAGCCAACGAGUGCAUGUGUCCAGUAUGAAGGCCACUGGUCACCGUCACUGGUCACUGGCCAUUCAGAUGAUACAAAUGUACAGGCCACCCCCAGCAAACCCCAAGAUUCUACCAGGCAGUGGUAGGUUUGGAGGGAGAAUGAUGUCACAAAGCAGGCAGUUUAAAGGUCUGCCAUAGCCAAUAGGGAGGUCAGAUUCCCCAACAAGACAGGAUUGGCUGGCAGAGGUGGUAGGGAAAGCUGCAGACACUAAGUGGCUGAGCUCUGGGGAGGUGAAAUCUGCAAGACAGACGUGAUAGUCCCACUUUCCCCCAGGCUCUCAUGUUAGGGAGAUCGUCUGAAUGUUUCUCUUAAAUGUUCACUCAU
This is a non-coding RNA of Chlorocebus sabaeus (green monkey), 779 nucleotides long. NCBI's taxonomy places the organism in Eukaryota, Metazoa, Chordata, Mammalia, Primates, Cercopithecidae. The record is from RefSeq and is a predicted model, not a curated record.